GUGACUGCGUACCUUUUGUAUAAUGGGUCAGCGACUUAUAUUCUGUAGCAAGGUUAACCGAAUAGGGGAGCCGGAGGGAAACCGAGUCUUAAUUGGGCGUUAAGUUGCAGGGUAUAGACCCGAAACCCGGUGAUCUAGCCAUGGGCAGGUUGAAGGUUGGGUAACACUAACUGGAGGACCGAACCGACUAAUGUUGAAAAAUUAGCGGAUGACCUGUGGCUGGGGGUGAAAGGCCAAUCAAACCGGGAGAUAGCUGGUUCUCCCCGAAAGCUAUUUAGGUAGCGCCUCGUGAAUUCAUCUCCGGGGGUAGAGCACUGUUUCGGCUAGGGGGCCAUCCCGGCUUACCAACCCGAUGCAAACUGCGAAUACCGGAGAAUGUUAUCACGGGAGACACACGGCGGGUGCUAACGUCCGUCGUGAAGAGGGAAACAACCCAGACCGCCAGCUAAGGUCCCAAAGUCAUGGUUAAGUGGGAAACGAUGUGGGAAGGCCCAGACAGCCAGGAUGUUGGCUUAGAAGCAGCCAUCAUUUAAAGAAAGCGUAAUAGCUCACUGGUCGAGUCGGCCUGCGCGGAAGAUGUAACGGGGCUAAACCAUGCACCGAAGCUGCGGCAGCGACACUGUGUGUUGUUGGGUAGGGGAGCGUUCUGUAAGCCUGUGAAGGUGUGUCGUGAGGCAUGCUGGAGGUAUCAGAAGUGCGAAUGCUGACAUAAGUAACGAUAAAGCGGGUGAAAAGCCCGCUCGCCGGAAGACCAAGGGUUCCUGUCCAACGUUAAUCGGGGCAGGGUGAGUCGACCCCUAAGGCGAGGCCGAAAGGCGUAGUCGAUGGGAAACGGGUUAAUAUUCCCGUACUUGGUGUUACUGCGAAGGGGGGACGGAGAAGGCUAUGUUGGCCGGGCGACGGUUGUCCCGGUUUAAGCGUGUAGGUGUGUGUUCCAGGUAAAUCCGGUUCACUUUAACACUGAGGCGUGACGACGAGGCACUACGGUGCUGAAGCAACAAAUGCCCUGCUUCCAGGAAAAGCCUCUAAGCAUCAGGUAACAUCAAAUCGUACCCCAAACCGACACAGGUGGUCAGGUAGAGAAUACCAAGGCGCUUGAGAGAACUCGGGUGAAGGAACUAGGCAAAAUGGUGCCGUAACUUCGGGAGAAGGCACGCUGACACGUAGGUGAAGUGAUUUACUCAUGGAGCUGAAGUCAGUCGAAGAUACCAGCUGGCUGCAACUGUUUAUUAAAAACACAGCACUGUGCAAACACGAAAGUGGACGUAUACGGUGUGACGCCUGCCCGGUGCCGGAAGGUUAAUUGAUGGGGUCAGCGCAAGCGAAGCUCCUGAUCGAAGCCCCGGUAAACGGCGGCCGUAACUAUAACGGUCCUAAGGUAGCGAAAUUCCUUGUCGGGUAAGUUCCGACCUGCACGAAUGGCGUAAUGAUGGCCAGGCUGUCUCCACCCGAGACUCAGUGAAAUUGAACUCGCUGUGAAGAUGCAGUGUACCCGCGGCAAGACGGAAAGACCCCGUGAACCUUUACUAUAGCUUGACACUGAACAUUGAGCCUUGAUGUGUAGGAUAGGUGGGAGGCUUUGAAGUGUGGACGCCAGUCUGCAUGGAGCCGACCUUGAAAUACCACCCUUUAAUGUUUGAUGUUCUAACGUGGACCCGUUACCCGGGUUGCGGACAGUGUCUGGUGGGUAGUUUGACUGGGGCGGUCUCCUCCUAAAGAGUAACGGAGGAGCACGAAGGUUGGCUAAUCCUGGUCGGACAUCAGGAGGUUAGUGCAAUGGCAUAAGCCAGCUUGACUGCGAGCGUGACGGCGCGAGCAGGUGCGAAAGCAGGUCAUAGUGAUCCGGUGGUUCUGAAUGGAAGGGCCAUCGCUCAACGGAUAAAAGGUACUCCGGGGAUAACAGGCUGAUACCGCCCAAGAGUUCAUAUCGACGGCGGUGUUUGGCACCUCGAUGUCGGCUCAUCACAUCCUGGGGCUGAAGUAGGUCCCAAGGGUAUGGCUGUUCGCCAUUUAAAGUGGUACGCGAGCUGGGUUUAGAACGUCGUGAGACAGUUCGGUCCCUAUCUGCCGUGGGCGCUGGAGAACUGAGGGGGGCUGCUCCUAGUACGAGAGGACCGGAGUGGACGCAUCACUGGUGUUCGGGUUGUCAUGCCAAUGGCACUGCCCGGUAGCUAAAUGCGGAAGAGAUAAGUGCUGAAAGCAUCUAAGCACGAAACUUGCCCCGAGAUGAGUUCUCCCUGAGACUUAAAGUCUCCUGAAGGAACGUUGAAGACGACGACGUUGAUAGGCCGGGUGUGUAAGCGCAGCGAUGCGUUGAGCUAACCGGUACUAAUGAACCGUGAGGCUUAACCUUACAACGCCGAAG
This 2365-nucleotide ribosomal RNA is filed under the name Salmonella enterica subsp. enterica serovar Enteritidis. Its description in RNAcentral is "bacterial LSU rRNA". It matches the Rfam family "Bacterial large subunit ribosomal RNA", at positions 593 to 2925 of the family's 2925-position model. Lineage: Bacteria; Pseudomonadati; Pseudomonadota; Gammaproteobacteria; Enterobacterales; Enterobacteriaceae. The record is from RNAcentral.